CUUGGUCGAUCCUGUCAGUACUCAUAUGCUUAUCUCAAAGAUUAAGCAAUGUAUGUGUAAGUAUGAAGUAAUUCAAACUGUAAAACUACGAAUAGCUCAUUAAAUCUGUUAUAGUUUAUAUAAUGGUAUCUACUACUUAGAUAACUGUAGUAAUCUAAAGCUAAUACAUGCAACAAACCUUGACUUUUGGAAGGGAUGCAUUUAUUAGAUAAAAGGUCAAUGUAAGCUUUGCCCAUUGCUUUGAAGAUUCUUGAUAACUUGAUGGAUCACAUAACCAUUAUGCUGGAAAUACAUCAUUCAAAUUUUUACCCUAUCAAUUUUUGAUGGUAGGAUGUGGCUUACUAUGGUGGUGAUAGGUAGUGAAGAAUUAGGGUUUGAUUUCGGAAAGGAAGCUUAAGAAACGGUUACCGCUUCCAAGAAAGGCAAUGGCAUACAAAUUAUCCAAUCCUAACAUAGGAAGGUAGUGGAAAUAAAUAACAAUACCAAGCUCUAUAAGUCUAGUAAUUAAAAUGAGUGCAAUCUAAAUCCCUUAAUUAGGAUCCAUUGGAGGGUAAGCCUAGUGCUAGCAGCUGUGGUAAUUCCAACUCCAAUAGGGUAUAUUUAAGUUGUUGUAGUUAAAAAGCUCAUAGUUGAAACUAGGGUUAGGUCGUUCGAUCUGCCUCAUGGUGAGCACUAGUCUACUUAUCUUUGCUACCGAUGAUGCAUUCCCGACAUUAACUAGCUAGGUCAUUCCUUCGAUGAUAUUACUUUAAAGAAAUUAGAGCGUUCAAAGUAGGCCUACACUUGUAUAUAUUAACAUGGGAUAACAUUAUAAGAUUUUGAUCCUAUUAUAUUAGUCUUCAAGGUCGGAGUAUCCUAUUUCAUAGUCAAAGAUGAAAUUCUUGGAUUUAUGAAAGACAAACAACUAUAAAAGUAUUUACGAAUGAUGUUUUCAUUAAUCAAUAAUGAAAGCUAGGGGCUCAAAAACGAUCAGAUUUCAUCAUAGACUUAACCAUAAAUAAUGCCAACCAGGGAUCGACGAAUGUUACUUUUAAGACUUCGUCAGCACCUUAUGAAAAAUCAAAGUUUUUGGGUUUUAAAGGGAGUAUGGUCACAAGGCUAAAACUUAGAGGAAUUUACAGAAAGGUAAAACCAAGAGUGGAGCCUACAGUUUAAUUUGACUUAAUAUGAGAAAACUUACUAAGUCCAGACAUAAUAAGGAUUGACAAACAGAAAGAUUUUUUUUAAUUCUAUGGAUGGUAGUGCAUGGUUUUCCUAGUUAGUGGAGUGAUUUGUCUGGUUAAUUCCAUUAAUGAAUGAGACCUUAGCCUAUUAACUAGCUACGAUGAGGUGAUCCUUCAUAGCUAGCUUCUUAAUGGGACUAUGGCCAUUUAGGCUAAGGAAGUUUGAAGCAAUAACAAGUUUCUGAUGCCCUUAGAUGUUUUGGGCUACACGUAUGCUACAUUGAUGUAUUUAAUGAGUCUAUAGCUUUGGCCAAUAGGUCAAGAUAAUCUUUGAAAUUUCAUUAUGAUGGGGAUAGAUCAUUGUAAUUGUUGGUCUUUAAAGAGGAAUUCCUAGUAAAUAUGAGUCAUUAGUUAGCGUUAACUACGUCCCUACCCUUUGUACACAUUGCUCAUCACUCUUAUUGAUUGAAUGAUCUAGUGAAGUGUUUGAAUCAUAGUGAUGUGGAUGGUUCGCAGCCCAUGACAUCAUGAGAAUUCCAUUAAACUUUAUCAUUUAGAGGAAGGAAAAGUUGUAAUAAGGUUUCUGUAGGUGAACCUACAAAAG
RNAcentral lists this ribosomal RNA (1767 nucleotides) under Durio zibethinus. RNAcentral describes it as "SSU rRNA". It matches the Rfam family "Eukaryotic small subunit ribosomal RNA". The record is from RNAcentral. Lineage: Eukaryota; Viridiplantae; Streptophyta; Magnoliopsida; Malvales; Malvaceae.